This 1328-nucleotide ribosomal RNA is filed under the name uncultured bacterium. RNAcentral describes it as "bacterial SSU rRNA". It matches the Rfam family "Bacterial small subunit ribosomal RNA", at positions 28 to 1381 of the family's 1533-position model. The record is from RNAcentral.
GAUGAACGCUGGCGGCGUGCUUAACACAUGCAAGUCGAACGAUUAAACCGCCCUCGGGCGGACAUAGAGUGGCGAACGGGUGAGUAACACGUGACCAACCUGCCCCGCGCUCCGGGACAACCGCUGGAAACGGCGGCUAAUACCGGAUACUCCGGGAGGGCCCCAUGGCCCUGCCGGGAAAGCCGAGACGGCGCGGGAUGGGGUCGCGGCCCAUUAGGUAGACGGCGGGGUAACGGCCCACCGUGCCCGCGAUGGGUAGCCGGACUGAGAGGUCGACCGGCCACAUUGGGACUGAGAUACGGCCCAGACUCCUACGGGAGGCAGCAGUGGGGAAUUUUGCGCAAUGGGGGAAACCCUGACGCAGCAACGCCGCGUGCGGGACGAAGGCCCUCGGGUUGUAAACCGCUUUCAGCAGGGAAGAUCCAAGACGGUACCUGCAGAAGAAGCUCCGGCUAACUACGUGCCAGCAGCCGCGGUAAUACGUAGGGGGCGAGCGUUAUCCGGAUUCAUUGGGCGUAAAGCGCGCGUAGGCGGCCGCCUAAGCGGGACCUCUAACCCCGGGGCUCAACCCCGGGCCGGGUCCCGGACUGGGCGGCUCGAGUGCGGUAGAGGAGAGCGGAAUUCCCGGUGUAGCGGUGGAAUGCGCAGAUAUCGGGAAGAACACCGAUGGCGAAGGCAGCUCUCUGGGCCGUCACUGACGCUGAGGCGCGAAAGCUGGGGGAGCGAACAGGAUUAGAUACCCUGGUAGUCCCAGCCGUAAACGAUGGGCGCUAGGUGUGGGGGGACGAUCCCUCCGUGCCGCAGCCAACGCAUUAAGCGCCCCGCCUGGGGAGUACGGCCGCAAGGCUAAAACUCAAAGGAAUUGACGGGGGCCCGCACAAGCAGCGGAGCAUGUGGCUUAAUUCGAAGCAACGCGAAGAACCUUACCAGGGCUUGACAUGCCGAUGAAGCCGGGGAGACCCGGUGGCCGAGAGGAGUCGGCGCAGGUGGUGCAUGGCUGUCGUCAGCUCGUGUCGUGAGAUGUUGGGUUAAGUCCCGCAACGAGCGCAACCCCCGCCCCGUGUUGCCAGCAUUCAGUUGGGGACUCGCGGGGGACUGCCGGCGUCAAGCCGGAGGAAGGUGGGGACGACGUCAAGUCAUCAUGCCCCUUAUGCCCUGGGCUGCACACGUGCUACAAUGGCCGGUACAGAGGGUUGCCACCCCGCGAGGGGGAGCGGAUCCCGGAAAGCCGGUCCCAGUUCGGAUCGCAGGCUGCAACCCGCCUGCGUGAAGCCGGAGUUGCUAGUAAUCGCGGAUCAGCACGCCGCGGUGAAUACGUUCCCGGGCCU